AUAGCGGAGGAAAAGAAACUAACAAGGAUUCCCCUAGUAACGGCGAGUGAACCGGGAAGAGCUCAAAUUUGAAAUCUGGCGUGCUCAGUGCGUCCGAGUUGUAAUCUAUAGAGUCGUUUUCCGUGCCGGACUGUGUCCAAGUCCCUUGGAACAGGGUAUCAAAGAGGGUGAUAAUCCCGUACUUGACACAAUGACCGGUGCUCUGUGAUACGUCUUCUACGAGUCGAGUUGUUUGGGAAUGCAGCUCAAAAUGGGUGGUGAGUUCCAUCUAAAGCUAAAUAUUGGCGAGAGACCGAUAGCGAACAAGUACCGUGAGGGAAAGAUGAAAAGCACUUUGGAAAGAGAGUUAAACAGUACGUGAAAUUGUUAAAAGGGAAACGAUUGAAGUCAGUCGUGACUGAGAGGCUCAGCCGGUUCUGCCGGUGUAUUCCCCUCAGUCGGGUCAACAUCAGUUUUGUUCGGUGGAUAAGGGCGGUUGGAAGGUGGCACCCUCGGGUGUGUUAUAGCCAACUGUCGCAUACAUCGGAUGAGACUGAGGAAUGCAGCUCGCCUUUAUGGCCGGGGUUCGCCCACGUUCGAGCUUAGGAUGUUGACAUAAUGGCUUUAAACGACCCGUCUUGAAACACGGACCA
This 632-nucleotide ribosomal RNA is filed under the name Papiliotrema flavescens. RNAcentral's name for it is "partial large subunit ribosomal RNA". It matches the Rfam family "Eukaryotic large subunit ribosomal RNA", at positions 47 to 668 of the family's 3401-position model. Lineage: Eukaryota; Fungi; Basidiomycota; Tremellomycetes; Tremellales; Rhynchogastremaceae. The record is from RNAcentral.